This 379-nucleotide unclassified non-coding RNA is filed under the name uncultured Gammaproteobacteria bacterium. Its description in RNAcentral is "contains 16S-23S intergenic spacer region". The record is from RNAcentral. Lineage: Bacteria; Pseudomonadati; Pseudomonadota; Gammaproteobacteria.
UCCGGCUUAGCACCGGCAGUCCCUUUAGAGUGCCCAACUUAAUGAUGGCAACUAAAGGCGAGGGUUGCGCUCGUUGCGGGACUUAACCCAACAUCUCACGACACGAGCUGACGACAGCCAUGCAGCACCUGUGUCCAGGUUCCCUUUCGGGCACCCCUCCAUCUCUGGAGGGUUCCUGGCAUGUCAAGGGUAGGUAAGGUUUUUCGCGUUGCAUCGAAUUAAUCCACAUAAUCCACCGCUUGUGCGGGUCCCCGUCAAUUCCUUUGAGUUUUACCCUUGCGAGCGUACUCCCCAGGUGGGAUGCUUAACGCGUUAGCUGAGGCACUAAGGGAUUUAACUCCCCCAACAACUAGUCAUCAUCGUUUAGGGCGUGGACUAC